ACUUGAUAUAAUCCAUUCAGGAACUCCAACUAAUCAAGCAUCACUUGAUAUAAUCCAUUCAGGAACUCCAACCAACCAAACAUCACUUGAUAUAAUCCAUUCAGGAACUCCAACCAACCAAAGAAAAUUUAAAAUAUGCUAUCUUGUUAACCUGGAAAUUUUAAUCUUAGCAUCAUUAAUAAUCCAUUAAGG
Long non-coding RNA from Gordionus sp. m RMFG-2023, 192 nucleotides. RefSeq lists it as uncharacterized. The transcript is spliced from 3 exons. Lineage: Eukaryota; Metazoa; Nematomorpha; Gordioida; Chordodea; Parachordodidae. The record is from RefSeq and is a predicted model, not a curated record.